AUACGGAGGGUGCAAGCGUUAAUCGGAAUUACUGGGCGUAAAGCGCGCGUAGGCGGCUAUAUAAGUCAGAUGUGAAAUCCCUGGGCUCAACCUAGGAACUGCAUUUGAAACUGUAUGGCUAGAGUAUGGUAGAGGUGAGUGGAAUUUCAGGUGUAGCGGUGAAAUGCGUAGAGAUCUGAAGGAACAUCAGUGGCGAAGGCGACUCACUGGGCCAUUACUGACGCUGAGGUGCGAAAGCGUGGGUAGCAAACAGGAUUAGAUACCCUAGUAGUCC
Molecule: ribosomal RNA, 274 nt
Filed under: uncultured bacterium
Lineage: Bacteria
Description: partial 16S ribosomal RNA
Rfam family: Bacterial small subunit ribosomal RNA
Source: RNAcentral